RNAcentral lists this transfer RNA (62 nucleotides) under Natula pravdini. Its description in RNAcentral is "tRNA-Trp". Lineage: Eukaryota; Metazoa; Arthropoda; Insecta; Orthoptera; Trigonidiidae. The record is from RNAcentral.
AAGAUUUUAAGUUAAAAAAACUAUUAACCUUCAAAGUUAAAAAUAAUUCAUUUUAAGUCUUA